GACGAACGCUGGCGGCGUGCUUAACACAUGCAAGUCGAACGGAAAGGCCCUGCUUUUGUGGGGUGCUCGAGUGGCGAACGGGUGAGUAACACGUGAGUAACCUGCCCUUGACUUUGGGAUAACUUCAGGAAACUGGGGCUAAUACCGGAUAGGAGCUCCUGCUGCAUGGUGGGGGUUGGAAAGUUUCGGCGGUUGGGGAUGGACUCGCGGCUUAUCAGCUUGUUGGUGGGGUAGUGGCUUACCAAGGCUUUGACGGGUAGCCGGCCUGAGAGGGUGACCGGCCACAUUGGGAUUGAGAGACGGCCCGACCACACACGGGAGGCAGGGGUGGGGAAUUUUGCCAAAGGGGCGGGAGCUGGAUGGAGAAACGCCGGGGGGGGGAGGGCGGCCUUCGGGUUGGAAACAGUUUUCGCGUGGGACGAAGGGUGAGGGGCGGAAAGGGGUAAAAAACCACGGGUAAAUUCGGU
This 467-nucleotide ribosomal RNA is filed under the name uncultured bacterium. RNAcentral's name for it is "partial 16S ribosomal RNA". It matches the Rfam family "Bacterial small subunit ribosomal RNA", at positions 28 to 506 of the family's 1533-position model. The record is from RNAcentral.